CCUACGGGUGGCUGCAGUGAGGGAUAUUGGUCAAUGGGGGAAACCCUGAACCCGCAACGCCGCGUGAGGGAAGACGGUUUUCGGAUUGUAAACCUCUGUUCUCUGUGAAGAUAAAGACGGUAGCAGAGGAGGAAGCUCGGGCUAACUACGUGCCAGCAGCCGCGGUAAUACGUAGGGAGCAAGCGUUGUCCGGAUUUACUGGGUGUAAAGGGUGCGUAGGCGGCCCUGCAAGUCUGAAGUGAAAUCCCUGGGCUUAACCCGUGAACUGCUUUUGAAACUGUAGGGCUUGAGUGAGGUGAAGGCAGGCGGAAUUCCCGGUGUAGCGGUGAAAUGCGUAGAGAUCGGGAGGAACACCAGUGGCGAAGGCUGCCUGCUGAGCUUUAACUGACGCUGAAGCACGAAGGCGUGGGUAGCGAACAGGAUUAGAUACCCCGGUAGUC
Molecule: ribosomal RNA, 440 nt
Filed under: uncultured bacterium
Lineage: Bacteria
Description: partial 16S ribosomal RNA
Rfam family: Bacterial small subunit ribosomal RNA
Source: RNAcentral